Molecule: small RNA, 117 nt
Filed under: Chryseobacterium gambrini
Lineage: Bacteria; Pseudomonadati; Bacteroidota; Flavobacteriia; Flavobacteriales; Weeksellaceae
Description: Flavo-1 RNA
Rfam family: Flavo-1 RNA
Source: RNAcentral
UACUAGCCCUGAUUGAAACGGCAUCCUUUUUUGUUGCGGGCGGAGCAUAAACUGGAGGUUUACGAACGUGUUCAGGAGCCCGUAACAAAAAAGAUACAGUGGAAAGCAGGAAACAGC